AGAACGAACGCUGGCGGCAGGCUUAACACAUGCAAGUCGAACGCGUGUAGCAAUACACGAGUGGCGCACGGGUGAGUAACGCGUGGAUAUCUGCCUUUUGGUUCGGAAUAACCCCGGGAAACUGGGGCUAAUACCGGAUGGUUCCUACGGGAUAAAGAUUUAUCGCCAAAAGAUGAGUCCGCGUCCGAUUAGCUAGUUGGUGGGGUAAUGGCCUACCAAGGCGACGAUCGGUAGCUGGUCUGAGAGGACGAUCAGCCACACUGGGACUGAGACACGGCCCAGACUCCUACGGGAGGCAGCAGUGGGGAAUAUUGGACAAUGGGGGCAACCCUGAUCCAGCCAUGCCGCGUGAGUGAUGAAGGCCUUCGGGUUGUAAAGCUCUUUCAGCAGGGACGAAGCGCAAGUGACGGUACCUGCAGAAGAAGCGCCGGCUAACUACGCGCCAGCAGCCGC
Molecule: ribosomal RNA, 453 nt
Filed under: uncultured bacterium
Lineage: Bacteria
Description: SSU rRNA
Rfam family: Bacterial small subunit ribosomal RNA
Source: RNAcentral